Molecule: ribosomal RNA, 301 nt
Filed under: uncultured bacterium
Lineage: Bacteria
Description: partial 16S ribosomal RNA
Rfam family: Bacterial small subunit ribosomal RNA
Source: RNAcentral
CAGUAGCCGCGGGAAUACGUAGGGUGCAAGCGUUAAUCGGAAUUACUGGGCGUAAAGCGUGCGCAGGCGGUUUGUUAAGACAGAUGUGAAAUCCCCGGGCUCAACCUGGGAACUGCAUUUGUGACUGGCAAGCUAGAGUGUGGCAGAGGGGGGUGGAAUUCCGCGUGUAGCAGUGAAAUGCGUAGAUAUGCGGAGGAACACCGAUGGCGAAGGCAGCCCCCUGGGCCAACACUGACGCUCAUGCACGAAAGCGUGUGGAGCAAACAGGAUUAGAUACCCCUGUAGUCCCUGUCUCUUAUAC